Gossypium raimondii (Peruvian cotton) is the source of this 997-nucleotide long non-coding RNA. RefSeq lists it as uncharacterized. The transcript has 3 exons. NCBI's taxonomy places the organism in Eukaryota, Viridiplantae, Streptophyta, Magnoliopsida, Malvales, Malvaceae. The record is from RefSeq and is a predicted model, not a curated record.
GAAAGAAAUAAAAGAUAGAAAAAGGGAAUAGAAACAGAAUAGGCAAACGAAACAGAGCAGGAAAGAAGGAAAGGAAAGAAAAGAAAAAAAGGGAAGGAAAGGAAGAAAAUUUGGGAUUUCAAGAUUUCAAGCUUAAUUGCUAAUGUCGUGCAAGAGUCAUUGUCCGAUAAAGGAAAGGAGAAGGUGAACAAGGAGUGACUCGAGAAAAUUUACGGUUAGUAGAAAGCCAGUGUCUGGUUCAGCAUCCAGAGCAAUCCCGACCUCAGAUAAAUUUUAGUGAUGUGCCUUUCUUUUGAUACUGUGGCAUGUAUUUAGGUAAUGUAUUAAUUAAAGUAUGCUAUGUAUGUUAUUUAUUUGUGAAUUAGUGAUAAGUUAUCCGAUAAUGUCCGGUAAUGCUCCGUAACCCAAUUCCGGUGACGGAUACGGGUUGGGGGUGUUACAAAUAUAAUAUUUUUUGAAGUUAAUUUUCAAGUCAGGUAAUUGGCCUAAUGGGUAAUUGAACUUGAAAAUUGGACCUGAGAUCGUAAAUUGGGCCCGGGAGCCCAAAACUGAGACUAAGACCCAAAAAUUGAUCGAACCAAGCCCGGUAUGUGAAACCGGACCGACGAUCCAACCACUGGCUAGACCGGACCACUCGGGUCAUCAUUGACUCGGAUCGAAUUGGUAGCAAUCGAACCAGCUCUGGGUGCCGUAAAAGUGUUGCACCUGCAUCACCAGAUACGAUGGUGCCAAUGGCUGCAACGGCAGCAUCCCAGUGGCCACCGGUGAUUGGUCGUCGGUGGUUGAGCAAUGGAAGAGUUACACUCCUACUGAGACUUUACUAGAGAAUCUGAAUUCAGAUUAAUUAUUCUAAAAAUAAUAUUAUUUUAAUAGUUUAAUAUUAGAUUUAAUUUAAUACUUAUCUUGAUAGUAUUUUAUUAAUUUAAUAUUAAUUUAAUUUAAUGUUAAGAUAAGCAUUCUAUUAUUUUAAUAAGAUUUACUAUUAAAUUUAGUUUAA